RNAcentral lists this ribosomal RNA (313 nucleotides) under uncultured bacterium. RNAcentral's name for it is "bacterial SSU rRNA". It matches the Rfam family "Bacterial small subunit ribosomal RNA", at positions 28 to 334 of the family's 1533-position model. The record is from RNAcentral.
GAUGAACGCUAGCGGCAGGCCUAACACAUGCAAGUCGAACGGCAGCGGGAAGGAGCUUGCUCCUUUGCCGGCGAGUGGCGCACGGGUGCGUAACGCGUAUACAACCUACCUUAUACAGGGGUAUAGCCCAGGGAAACUUGGAUUAACACCCCAUAGUAAUAUGUUUUGGCAUCAUUACAUAUUUAAAACUACGGUGGUAUAAGAUGGGUAUGCGUCCCAUUAGCUUGUUGGUGUGGUAACGGCACACCAAGGCAACGAUGGGUAGGGGCCCUGAGAGGGGGAUCCCCCACACUGGUACUGAGACACGGACCAG